UGUUAUAUGAACAACACAAAUAGAGUGCCUCUAUUAAUUUGUUGUUGUUUUGUUUGUUUGUUUUUUUGUUACUUCCAAGAUCUUAAGCCUCACUACUAGCCUUGCUCUCUUCCCAUAAGUCUCAUCCAACAGAAAACACCGAGGCAAUUCCUGCCUGUGAUGGAGGACAGUGGCCUUUGAUCUCAGCAUAAGAGCAGGUAUCCAAAACACUAACUUGCCUGGGCAGCACUGAGUGAAGAGGAAUCGCCUUGGACUAAAUGUAAAUAUAUAUGGCAUCACUAAUGUGUACACAGUUGGAGGACACGUGUUGCUUGUAAACAUUUACAAGUGAAAGACUUGAAUGUUACAAGUGAUAGGAUGCAAGGAAAUGACCUCAAGUUGUUCCAGGUGAGCCUAAUUUGUCAUGUCAGGGAUAAUUUAUUAAUGGGAGAGGCAAUUAGGCAUUGGAACGGGCUGCCCAGGAAAGUGGUCUCUGGAGGUAUUUAAAAAAUGUGUAGACCUGGUGCUUUAACAGUAGACUUGUAGAGUAAAGUGGAUGGUCAGAUUUGAUGAUCUUGAAGGUCUUUUCCAAUUGAAAUAAUUGUAUGAUUCUACAAUCCUACAAAGCAAGUAGAAAGUGAGAAAAAUGUUUGUGAGAUGGUCUUGAUUACCUCAUCAGGACUCGGAUUAUUUUUAGGGAAGGGCAAUAACAACUGGUGCAGUCAAAAGCUAGCAUUGUAUAUACUGGGAGUAUUGCCAUUGCAUUCUUUGCCUCUUUGGGUGAAAUCUUACUUCUCCAAGAAGCGAUAAGUUUUGUAUUUUCUUCUUCUGCCACUGCCAUACAAAGCAAGAAUGUAAGACAUACUUGUGUAGUGAUCCAACUACAAAUAUCUCAGAAGAGCUUUAACUGUUUCCUCCUAGUCCUGCAGGCAAAAGAGUUUUCAGAUAGCUCGGCUUGCCACUCUGGUCUCAGUGUUCUCCAUUGUUGGUUCAGUGGAGGACCUGAGAGGAGAGCACGAGACUUGUUUCCACUUCACUGCCACCUUAAAUGAUUGAAUUGUCUAUGAAGCGGCAGUUUUAUUUAAUUAGGGCUUUGGACAGGGAGCCAGGCAAUUAAAAUUGUUAUAUUUGCUUUCAAAAUUUCCAUGCAAGCAGGUGCAGACUGCUUUCAUACAGUUCAGCCUCCAUGGCUCCUUGACCUGGGAGUGCAGAAGAAUGAAAUGCAGAGGGCAGAACUCCUUUUCUCACACACAGCCUUGUGCAAACAUCGUAGCUCGACUGCUUCCAGAUUCAGAGUGGCACAAGUGUUGUGCUCUGUAGCAUUUUCAAUUACUCUCCACUGCUAGGUGCUCUGCACAAAAAAAAAGAUUUUGUUUUUUCCCCACAUCGAAGAAGGAAAGAGUUUCUCAGAGCUGCUUACAGAGGGAGGCCGUGCCCAGACGUAAGCACUGAGGCUGUCCUUUCAGAGGAAUAACGUACUUUCUGUUCUCACUUUUUCCCCUGUUCUUAAGACCACUGAGUAUUAUGAUAACCCACUUGGAAAGGGCUGGAAUAAGUGCUUGGGAGGGAGAUAAAUACCAGCUCAAACUUCGCUUUUUAUUUUCUGUACAGUUUUUAAACAGAUGGAGGCUAAAAAUCUAGCAAAUCAAAUAUUUCUACCACCGGUGGUCCUAAAUUGCAUGCAGAGCACUGUGGGCUGGUGGCCAGAACAAUAACGAAGCUGCCCUGAAAGUAUUUAUCUUAGGCAAUACUUUUUACUUCUCAUUGCUAUCUGAAAAUUUCAGUGUGAAUUAAACAUCACAGGUAAGGCUAUCUCUCUUUUCCAGCUGCAGAAAUCGAAAACCAGAAAGGUUACAAAUAGAAUUUGUGUUUGGAGUACCAUCCAAGCCCUGGGACUCACAGAAGACAAGAGGGCUAUUCACAAAGCAUGGCACUGCAUAAAGUGUAUCUGGCCUUGUGACUUACCUGUGAACAUGGGGUUAGUCUGGAAAGAGAUGUCAUGUCUCUUAAUUCAUGGUUAUUACUUCAGUUACACUGCUGUUUUUUUCCUGUUAGAAGAAAUAUGAUUGAAGAAUCAGGCAGUGGUAGUAUUGAAGAGCUUGCCAGUGCAGAUAAACACUCAGAAGAAAUACUUGAGCUUGUGGUUUGAUCACACAAAGGAUUUUUAGUACCAUCAAGGCAUGGUCCAAAAUACAUGCAAGAUAUAAUGACUGUUUUCACAAUUGCAACUACCUGCAGUUUCAUGUAUCUUUGAUCUUCUUUUCCUCAGAAGGGUUUAAAAAAAGAAGUGUUGAGGUUCCCUAUAUUGUCAAAUGACCAUGGUUAUUUACAUAGCUAAAUGGGGGGUCUGUAAAGUGUACUGUGCCAUUUAAAAUUAACUUAGUGAAUAUCUGUUAAGGAAAGCUGCAUUAGAGAAAGGGCAUGAAUUUUAAACCCAUUCGUAGAUUAAUGGAGGCAAAGUACUGCAUGGAUGUUCUGAUUUCACUUAAUUACCAAGUCUUGUUAGACUGAGUCAAACAGGAGUCAACUUAACUGAUGCAAAUGUAAAAUGUCACAUUUUCAUCACAAGGUUUAUAUCCAUAGCUUUCUGCAGAGACCGUAUCGUGCUGAUAUGUGUAAUAACUUAUGCUUCCUUAGUGAUUCCUCUUUACGUAGGUAAGUCCAUGUUAAAAUAACACACAAUCUGUUGCACAGAAGCUCCACCAUCUAUAAGAAAAGGCAAAAAACCAUUGGGAUAGAAUUUCUUCAGAAGAAUAUGUAACAUAGCAAGAUUUGAAGGACAAGUUUGGCAAACCCCACAAGAACGUGUUUGAAAAGCCAAGUCCUUUUAUCAUUUGCCUUAAGAAUUCUGGAUCUCCUGUCACUGAGAGAGAUUGGCCACUGUGUCACUGAGGAAAUCAGAAGAGGAAUUCCUAUCCUCAAAGCUCCAAAUUCCCUUCAAGUUUUUAUCUGUAUCAUCCCCACGCUGGACUUUAGAUUUGGACUUUAGAUUUAUCUCUGCUAGUUCAGAGUUCAAACCAAUCAUAAAACUUUGCCAUGUGACUGUGCUUUCCAAAAGCAUUCAACUUUGCAUUGUUGAGCAAAAUGCCAUAGAGUAGAAAAAAAGAAACAAACAGCUCGUAUCAACAGCAAGAGAGGAAAUAGAAGGUAUGACAGGAAUUCAAACACUUGUUAGAACAGCUUCAAAAUUUCAGGAAUUCGGAUGAGGCCUUGAGAGCGGUCCAAACUCAUAUACUCUUGUGGUGUCAAAAAAGUGAAAUUUCAUAAAAAUCAAGACUUGAGUCAGAUCCUGAGUUUCAUCAGAGUGUGGCAGAACUGGAGAACAGAAAAUAACUCUUUCUUCUCCGUUACAGCUAAAUAGAUGGUUUUAUUAAUUAUAGUUGAUAGUUAAAGAGAGGACAUUCUGCCAUUCAGAACUGAAUAUGAAGUCCACUGAGAUCAGUUAGGUAUUUCCAUUUACUUCAGUGGAUGCUGAAUGAAUUGAGGAAGAACCCGCGUAAGAAGUGAGGUGGUACUGCGAAGUGCAGACUUGGGGUGUGCAUAGCACAGCUGCCCUGGGGGGAAACUAGGAGUUCUGAGGAAAUGUCCUGCUUUAUGAUGCUGAUGUGUCAUCUCCUGUCUGCUUACCAGUGCGCUGACUAAGGAGCAAGCAAUGCAAGGAGAGAUGGAACUUGAUGUAAGGGUGGGCGCUGCAGAUGAUAAAUGUGUACAUACAGAUAUUGGUGUAUAUAUACAGAUCUUUAAAUGUGGAGGUUUCAGCUACAGGCAUUUCAUCAAAAUUUACAUUAUUUGAAGCCGACUUCUCCUGAAUCAGAAAAGAAAUGCAAAUGUUUUGCAAAUUAGAUGUGUUAAUAAUUAGGAUUGUAUGAACAAGCUAUGUAUAAAAGUCUAUACUCUGUCUGGAGAGUGACAUGCUUGUGGGAGGGUUAAAUAAAAAGUAGUUUAAUGAAGGAACUAAUUUCUCUACCAAACUACCAGGAAGUUCAAAACAAAGAAUUUAAAAACAGGGUAUUUUUAAACAAAUAGCUUGACAACAUUGUGCCCUUGCCUAAGCAUAAGAGAAAUCUGACUUGACUACCAUGCAUCAAUUUGUUGACAUAAUUCUUCUCUUGGUUUUGCUAUAUUACUUAAAAAAUAAUGGGUGUAGAGGGUGGAUGAGAAAGGAGCUAUUGUAAAAGAGGCAAGGCUUGCAAAAUGUAAGCUUUUUGCAUUUUAGCCAAACAAGCUUUUUGAACAUGGCACUAAGGAUAACAAAGGAGAAAGGAUUGUUCUUCAUUCUUACUUUAUUAAAUUCUGAGGGAACAGUGACAUCAGUUUCAUCCCAGUUUUGAAGGACAGUAGCAUCCUCUAGCCUGUUUCAAAUGUUUUCCGAAGAAAAUUUGUACAGCUAAUUGCCAGUUUUCAACCAGCUUAAAAAGGGAAAUGCAAAUGACAACUUAGUUUUCAGUAGGAAACCUGGUUAUAUUCCUAAUCUAAGAAAAGAGUUCUUUGAAAGUGUGAACACGAAGUAAAUGAGACCUUUAAUAUAAGGGCCUGACUUAGAACGCUGUGGAUGUGCGCGUCCUGGGCCGGAGGUGCCGAGAUCUUUGGUAACACCGAGCUCCAUCUACUGGCGUGCGGGAGAAGUCGAGAGACUUGCGUGUACCACCUCCUCCCUUUUGACAAAAAUACCUUCUUCGGCCUUGGAAACCAGCGCUGAACGAGUUUUGGUGCCUUAGAUCUAUUCGAGGGCUGUUCUCGUGCUGGGAAGAAUUGCAAUAUUUAGCCUAUGAUAUCACCUUAGUUCCUCUACUCCAUCGCUGUAAAGGCAUCUCCAUCUAUCAUCGAGAUCAGGGGCUGAGAUCACCUUUCAGCCUUGUAAGAGCUGAGAUUACCAGGCCAAGUAUCUCCAAAUGAGCCAGUCCUCAAAGCACAGCUAACUGCAGCUGCCAGCUGAGUACUAACUGUUGUACAGACAGUGAUGGUCUUGGAGGGGGGCAAGUAUGCAAAAAUCUAUUUGCUAACAUCUGAGGUAUUCAUUUGCUAUCUGCACUUGGUAAGGUCUUGCCAGUGACUUGAAUCAGAGGCUAAAAAAGAACCCUCUUUGAAGUGGAAAUGAGUGCCUGGAUAUCCAAAGGAUGCUGGGGUUAUCCAUUCAGUAAAAGUAGGUUGUCUUGAACAGAUCUUUGACUGCACUGCCAAUCGAUCUGCACAGCUAACUCAAGUUAGGAAUUUUUUCUUUAAGGUAACUGAAAUAUACUGUUUGGAUUUUGACUUUUUACUGUUAGGGAAAACUGAUUUUGUGAUGCAAACAAUUAAGUAUUUGUUUCAAAAUGUGACAGUACAGGACGCUCAGUGUUGUUCAUUUCUUCAAGGAGAUGUGACUUAAGAAACUGUUCCAUUUUGAACAUUACCUUUUCAAAUGGAAAAUGAUGCAGCCAAGGGCUUUCCAAUCAAGUUUAUAAUUAUUUCUUCAACUUCUUUAAAAAUAAAAUAGUUAAAAUUAAAAGUUAAAAUGGAAAUUCUGAACAGUGUACAUAGAUGUAGCCUAGUCUUUUAGAAGGCAGAGAAACUACACUUUUCCACAUGUAAAACUGAUCUCCUUCAUCCAAAGCCAUGUUUUACAAUUAAGUUUUUGUUUGUUUUUUCUUUUUUUUUUUUUUUCUAACCAUUCUUCACAUUCACACAGCUCAAAGAACUCAAAUCACACAGCUACAAAGAAGGAAAUGUGGAACUGAAGUUAUGCUGGGAGGGAGGUGAAGUCUUCUGAAAUAAGGACUAGUCAAUGCAUAGGUUUUCAGUUCUUUGUGGACAUUUUCAUCACUGUGUUCGUAUUUGUAAAGGCAGAUCUGAGCCUUAAAGACCUAAUUAUCACAAGUGACCAAGUCAUCUUCAUGAGCUUGGAGCAUGGUCAGGUACCUUAGGAGUUUACUAAUAAGCUGUAAGCAUUGCCACUCUUCUCAAGCCUUGGGAAAGCAGGUGGCAUCUGAGCUCAACACAGAUAUUGCUGGUUAUUUCUCUCCUAAUUCUCUCGUCAAUGUUUUUCUACGGAAAACUGUGCCUGGGACUUUUUCCUCCAGCUGUAAAUCCUCCCCUAAUUCCAAAUCUAAUUGCAUUAAAGGCCUGUUUAUAUCU
This is a long non-coding RNA of Tympanuchus pallidicinctus (lesser prairie-chicken), 6093 nucleotides long. RefSeq lists it as uncharacterized. The transcript is spliced from 4 exons. Lineage: Eukaryota; Metazoa; Chordata; Aves; Galliformes; Phasianidae. The record is from RefSeq and is a predicted model, not a curated record.